UGACCUCAGAUCAGAUGUGGUGACCUGCCAAAUUUAAGCAUUAUUACUAAGCAGAGGAAAAUAAACUAACCAGGAUUCCCUCAGUAAUGGCAAGUGAAGAAGGAAGAGUCCAGCACUAAAUCCCUGCCCGGGUGAUGGGUGCAGGGAAAUGUGGCAUAUGGAUGUCCAUCUCCAAGGUGCUGCCCAGGGAUCCCAGGUCCUUGUGAUUGAGGCUCAGCCCAGAGACUGUGUGAGGCUUGUGGCAUCCCCCGGAGCAUCAGGAUCAGGUCUUCCCAGAGUUGGGUUGUUUGUGAAUGCAGCCCAAAGCAGGUGGUAAACUCCACCUAAGGCUAAACACUGGCACAACACUGAUAGCGGCCAAGUACAGUAAGGGAAAGUUGAAAAGAACUUUAAAGAGAGAGUUCAAGAGGGCAUGAAACCAUUCAGCUGUAAAUGGGUGUGGUCUGUGCAGUCUGCCCAGAGGAUUAAACUCUCCAUCCGCGUCGACUACCUGGGUGAGGCAGAUCCCCCUUCGGGGGUGGGGGGAUCUGUCCCCGGGCACACCAACCACCGUUGGGCACACUUCCUCCAUGGUGGUGCAUCACAACUGGCUCCGGGUCGGCCGGGAAGACAGUGUGGAAGGUGGCUCCUCUCCCUGCAGGGGUGUGUUGCAGCACAUGGUAUCAGCCUUCACUGUACUCUGGGGUCAUAGGAGACGACUGCCACCGCACCCUCCCUCAUCUUUGUGGCAGUAGAGGGGCCCCCGGCUCCUGGCCGGACUGUCGACUGGGCUGGACUGUACUUAGUGCGGCCCAACUGUGUCCUGCCUCUGGGCCAGCGGGCUCACCUCGGGUACCUGGGGUCCACGGUGACAUCGGUAAUCCACCCGUAAUGUCUUGAAACAUGGACCAAGGAGUCUAACAGGUGCGUGAGACCGAGGGUGGGCAGGAGACCCCACGGUGCAAUGAAAGUGAGAACCGGUGUAUGCUGGCUGAGGCAGGAUCCCCCUGCCCCGCAUGGAGGGGGUGCACCACCUGCCUGUCUCACCCAUCCUGUCGGGGAGGUGGAGCAUGAGUGCACCUGGUGGGACCCGAAAGGUGGUGAACUAUGCCUGGGCAGGGCGAAGCCUAAGGAAACUCUGGUGGCAGUCCAUAGCGGUCCUGACAUGCAAAUUGGUUGUCCAACCUGGGUAUAGGGGUGAAAGACUAAUCAAACCAUCUAGUAGCUGGUUCCCUCCAAAGUUUCCCUAAGGAUAGCUGGCCCUUGGCAGAUGCAGUUUUAUCUGGUAAAGUGAAUGAUUAGAGGUCUUGGGGCCAAAACAAUCUCAACCUAUUCUCAAACUUUAAAUGGGUAAGAAGCCCGAAUCACUGGCUUGGAGCUAGGCAUGACAUGUGAGCACCAGUGGAUCACUUUUGGUAAGAAGAAGUGGUGCUGCAGAAUGAACUGAACACUGGGUUAAGGUGCCUGAUGCCGAUGCUCAUCAGACCCCAGAAAAGGUGUUGGUUGAUAUAGACAGCAGGACAGUGGCCAUGGAAGUCAGAAUCUGCUAAGGAGUGUGCAACAACUCACCUGGUGAAUCAACUAGCCCUGAAAAUGGAUGGUGCUUGAGAGCAGGGCCCAUAUCCAGCCAUUGCUGGCACUGAGAGCUAAAAGGGCUACCCCAGGAUGAGUAAGAGGGCCAACGCAGUGGUACUGAAGCCCAGGGUGAGGGUCUGGGUGGAGCCACUGCUGGUGCAGAUCUUGGUAGUAGUAGCAAAUAUUCAAAUGAGUGCUUUGAAGGCUGAAGUGGAGAAGGAUUCCAUGUGAACAGCAGUUGAACAUGGGUCAAUUGGUCCUGAGAAAUAGGCAAGUGUCAUUCUGAAGGGAAAGGUGAUGGCCUCCAUCUCCCUCAGCUGAUCGUAAGGGAGUCAGGUUCAGAUCCCCAAAACAGGAGUGGUAGAAAUAGGUGCCUUACGCCAUCCAGUGUAUUAACGCAUACAAUCCCACGGAAGCUGGCAGGGGCCCCUGGGAGAGUUCUCUUUUUUUUGUAAAGGGCAGGGUACCCUGGAAUGGGUUUGCACCAAGAGAGGGGCCCACGCUCUGGAAAGUGUCGCAGUUCCGGCAGCAUCAGGUAAGCUCUCACUGGCCCUUGAAAAUGCGGGGGAGAGGGUGUAAGUCUCCACCAGGCCAUACCCAUAUCUUCAUCAGGACUCCAAUGUGGCCAGCCACUGGCAUGUUAGAGCAAUAUAGGUAAGGGAAGUCAGCAAGCCAGAUGCAUAACUUCAGGAUAAGGAUUGGCUCUAAGGGCUGGGUCGGUCGGACUUGGGUGUGAAAUAGUGCUGGGCAUGCACAAUGGCUGAAAGAGGCAUCACCCCCUCACUGUGCUCUCCCCUCCUGGAGGGACAGCAAGUGGGGACUCUGGAUGUGCACUGGGCCUUUCCUGUGGAUUGUCCCAGCUGUGGAGGGCACCGGUCCUGACCAGUGUCCCACAUUGUCUGGCAGGUAGCAGCUGACUUAGAACUGGUGCAGACCGGGGGAAUCCAACUGUUUCAUUAAAACAAAGCAUCAUGAACGCAUGAGGUGGGUGUUGACAUGAUUUGAUUUCUGCCCAGUGCUCAGAAUGUCAAAGUGAAGAAAUUCAAUGAAGCGCAGGUAAACUGCUGGAGUAACUAUGACUCUCUUAAGGUAGCCAAAUGCCUCGUCAUCUAAUUAGUGAUGUGCAUGAAUCAAUGAAUGAGAUUCCCACUGUCCCUAACUACUAUUUAGCAAAACCACACCCAAGGGAACAGGCUUGGCAGAAUCAGUGAGGAAAGAAGACCCUGUUGAGUUUGAUUCUAGUCUGGCACUGUGAAGAGACAUGAGAUGUGUAGAAUAAGUGAGAGGUCUUGGCUGCCAGUGAAAUGCCACUACUCUUAUCAUUUUUUUCACUUAUCCGGUGAGGCAGGGAGAUGAGCCCCACCAGGGCACUUGCUACUGGCUUCAAGCGCCUGGACUAUCUGGAUGCAACCCACUCUGGGGACAGUGUCAAAUGAGGAGUUUGACUGGGGUGGUACACCUGUCAAAGAGUAAUGCAGGUCCUUAGGUGAGCACAGGGAGGACAGAGAACUCCCAUGGAGCAGAAGGGCAAAAGCUCACUUGAUCUUGAUUUUCAGUAUGAAUACAGUCCUCAUGAUCCUUUUGGCUUUUUGGGUUUUUAGCAGGAGGUGCCAGAAAAGUUACUACAGGGAUAACUGGAUUGUGGUGGCCAUGCAUUCAUAGCAAUGUCACUUUUAGAUACUUUGUUGUUGGCUCUUCCUAUCAUUGUGAAGCAGAAUUCAAGAAGCAUUGGAUUGUUCACCCACUAAUAGAUAAUGUGAGCUGGGUUUAGACUGUCAUGAGAGAGGAUAGUUUUACCCUACUGAUGAUGUGUUGUUGUGAUAGUAAUCCUGCUCAGUACGAGAGGAAUUACAAGUUCAGACAUUUGGUGUAUAUGCUUGGCUGAGGAGCCAAUGGUGCGAAGCUACCAUCUGUGGGAUUAUGACUGAACACCUCUAAGUCAGAAUCCCCCCUAAAUGUAACAAUACCACAGCACUGCGGAUCUCUGGUUGGCCAGGGAAUAGUCAGCCGCAAGGCCGGCAAGGAGCACUGCUCAUCACUGGGUCAGAGCAUGGAUGGAAGGGGGUCUCAUCUCUCCAGAAGUGCACAGCAUGUUUGUAGGGAACUGGGUGCUAAAUUAUUCAUAGACAACCUGAUUCUGUGUCAGAGUUUCAUACGUAGAAAAGCAGCAAAAAGCUGUGAUCUAUUGAAAGUCAGCCCUCGAGCUAAGCUUUUGU
Molecule: ribosomal RNA, 3770 nt
Organism: Protopterus annectens (West African lungfish)
Lineage: Eukaryota; Metazoa; Chordata; Ceratodontiformes; Protopteridae
Source: RefSeq, a predicted model, not a curated record